Molecule: ribosomal RNA, 694 nt
Filed under: Bacillus sp. ASM1-59
Lineage: Bacteria; Bacillati; Bacillota; Bacilli; Caryophanales; Bacillaceae
Description: bacterial SSU rRNA
Rfam family: Bacterial small subunit ribosomal RNA
Source: RNAcentral
GAUGGGAGCUUGCUCCCUGAUGUUAGCGGCGGACGGGUGAGUAACACGUGGGUAACCUGCCUGUAAGACUGGGAUAACUCCGGGAAACCGGGGCUAAUACCGGAUGCUUGUUUGAACCGCAUGGUUCAAACAUAAAAGGUGGCUUCGGCUACCACUUACAGAUGGACCCGCGGCGCAUUAGCUAGUUGGUGAGGUAAUGGCUCACCAAGGCAACGAUGCGUAGCCGACCUGAGAGGGUGAUCGGCCACACUGGGACUGAGACACGGCCCAGACUCCUACGGGAGGCAGCAGUAGGGAAUCUUCCGCAAUGGACGAAAGUCUGACGGAGCAACGCCGCGUGAGUGAUGAAGGUUUUCGGAUCGUAAAGCUCUGUUGUUAGGGAAGAACAAGUACCGUUCGAAUAGGGCGGUACCUUGACGGUACCUAACCAGAAAGCCACGGCUAACUACGUGCCAGCAGCCGCGGUAAUACGUAGGUGGCAAGCGUUGUCCGGAAUUAUUGGGCGUAAAGGGCUCGCAGGCGGUUCCUUAAGUCUGAUGUGAAAGCCCCCGGCUCAACCGGGGAGGGUCAUUGGAAACUGGGGAACUUGAGUGCAGAAGAGGAGAGUGGAAUUCCACGUGUAGCGGUGAAAUGCGUAGAGAUGUGGAGGAACACCAGUGGCGAAGGCGACUCUCUGGUCUGUAACUGACGCUGA